UUACCUGCGGUAGUCAAAACAGAGGUUCUGAUUGGUAGUUCAUCUUUUAAUUUGUUUGUAGGCUACACCUGUGGCGAUGUUGGAAAUUUAUGUAGACUCCCAUCAGCAUACAACACCAUUUUACCAAAGAAGGCAAUGUGCAGGAGCAUUAGAGUGUUUUGCCUCAUCUUAACUAAAGAUGGUGAGCGCGGAUCGUUUCUGAAUGCAGUUUCAUUAUUAAUGUUCGGAAUUGUUGCCGAGGGUGAAAAUAAGCCGCAGUCUUCAAUGCAAUCAAUAACCCAAGAUUGGGCUUCCCAGAGAUACAGCGGCACGGAAUGAGAGGAAACUGGAGUACCUGGAGGAAACCCACGCAAACACAGGGAGAACAUGCAUGCAGAGAGGACCCAGCCGGGACUCGAACCCAGAACCUCCUUCUUGUCGGUUGGUGGAAAGUGCCCGGAGCCAGUUCACCCUCCUGAAACUGGAUGUAUGAGGAGGUCUUGUCUUCAGGAGCAGUUUCAUUGGUCGAAUGUUGCGUGUGGCUUCUCUGGAGCUGAGGCGUGCCUCGUCCCUGGUAUCACCUUGGACAAGGUGACAUUUCCCCCCCUGUACAGCUAGCAAUUCAUCCGCUAUUGCUAUGUG
This is a long non-coding RNA of Anguilla anguilla (European eel), 621 nucleotides long. RefSeq lists it as uncharacterized. The transcript has 4 exons. The record is from RefSeq and is a predicted model, not a curated record. NCBI's taxonomy places the organism in Eukaryota, Metazoa, Chordata, Actinopteri, Anguilliformes, Anguillidae.